Molecule: ribosomal RNA, 1442 nt
Filed under: Campylobacter jejuni
Lineage: Bacteria; Pseudomonadati; Campylobacterota; Epsilonproteobacteria; Campylobacterales; Campylobacteraceae
Description: partial 23S ribosomal RNA
Rfam family: Bacterial large subunit ribosomal RNA
Source: RNAcentral
UGCUAGUCUAAGGUCGUAGGAGGUUAUACAGGCAAAUCCGUAUAACAAUACUCCGAGAACUGAAAGGCUUUUUGAAGUCUUCGGAUGGAUAGAAGAACCCCUGAUGCCGUCGAGCCAAGAAAAGUUUCUAAGUUUAGCUAAUGUUGCCCGUACCGUAAACCGACACAGGUGGGUGGGAUGAGUAUUCUAAGGCGCGUGGAAGAACUCUCUUUAAGGAACUCUGCAAAAUAGCACCGUAUCUUCGGUAUAAGGUGUGGUUAGCUUUGUAUUAGGAUUUACUCCGAAAGCAAGGAAACUUACAACAAAGAGUCCCUCCCGACUGUUUACCAAAAACACAGCACUCUGCUAACUCGUAAGAGGAUGUAUAGGGUGUGACGCCUGCCCGGUGCUCGAAGGUUAAUUGAUGGGGUUAGCAUUAGCGAAGCUCUUGAUCGAAGCCCGAGUAAACGGCGGCCGUAACUAUAACGGUCCUAAGGUAGCGAAAUUCCUUGUCGGUUAAAUACCGACCUGCAUGAAUGGCGUAACGAGAUGGGAGCUGUCUCAAAGAGGGAUCCAGUGAAAUUGUAGUGGAGGUGAAAAUUCCUCCUACCCGCGGCAAGACGGAAAGACCCCGUGGACCUUUACUACAGCUUGACACUGCUACUUGGAUAAGAAUGUGCAGGAUAGGUGGGAGGCUUUGAGUAUAUGACGCCAGUUGUAUAUGAGCCAUUGUUGAGAUACCACUCUUUCUUAUUUGGGUAGCUAACCAGCUUGAGUUAUCCUCAAGUGGGACAAUGUCUGGUGGGUAGUUUGACUGGGGCGGUCGCCUCCCAAAUAAUAACGGAGGCUUACAAAGGUUGGCUCAGAACGGUUGGAAAUCGUUCGUAGAGUAUAAAGGUAUAAGCCAGCUUAACUGCAAGACAUACAAGUCAAGCAGAGACGAAAGUCGGUCUUAGUGAUCCGGUGGUUCUGUGUGGAAGGGCCAUCGCUCAAAGGAUAAAAGGUACCCCGGGGAUAACAGGCUGAUCUCCCCCAAGAGCUCACAUCGACGGGGAGGUUUGGCACCUCGAUGUCGGCUCAUCGCAUCCUGGGGCUGGAGCAGGUCCCAAGGGUAUGGCUGUUCGCCAUUUAAAGCGGUACGCGAGCUGGGUUCAGAACGUCGUGAGACAGUUCGGUCCCUAUCUGCCGUGGGCGUAAGAAGAUUGAAGAGAUUUGACCCUAGUACGAGAGGACCGGGUUGAACAAACCACUGGUGUAGCUGUUGUUCUGCCAAGAGCAUCGCAGCGUAGCUAAGUUUGGAAAGGAUAAACGCUGAAAGCAUCUAAGCGUGAAGCCAACUCUAAGAUGAAUCUUCUCUAAGCUCUCUAGAAGACUACUAGUUUGAUAGGCUGGGUGUGUAAUGGAUGAAAGUCCUUUAGCUGACCAGUACUAAUAGAGCGUUUGGCUUAUCUUUAAUAAAGCAU